CACGUUUUCCAUAAAUUACGAACAACCCAUUGUAACUCCCCACUCUGCAGUUCCUCUCAACUCUUUUCUUCCUCUUGUUCUUCGACCAUGUCUCAGAUAAAAAGAGUCAAAUAUCUCUACAGGUUCGAGGUAAAGAAAUCAAAUAAUUUCUUCAUUUGCUGUAAGAGAUCAGGGAAAUGCAAGGUUAGAAAAUUUACUGGUGUCGAAACUGUUUGUGAAAAUCUUAUUGAUGAAGAUAACCUCGUUUUUGGGUGAAUCUAAUGGGAGAUUGAAUGAAGAAGUUGAUUUUGAAAUCUUUCCAAAGGUAGAUAUUAGUUUGGUACAAGGUGAACAUCAGGUAGAAAUUGAGAUUCGAGGAUUCCAAAACGAGACUGUGACAUCACUUAUCUCCUUCUGGAUUUUCGUUUUCAGCAUGUAGUGCAGGCUGUGCUUUCACAAAUUAUUAAGGUUUUGCUAAAUGGCGUUGGAAGUGAAUUCUGUGUCAGAAGAUACUUGUUGAUGGACAUUGGAAGCGAAGGAAUGCUACAUCAUUGGCAUUGGAAGUGAAUUCUAUGUCGGAAGAUACUUGUUGAUGGACAUUAGAAGAGAAGGAAUGCUACAUCAUCCAUUGGUUUACUCAUUUUAAUUUUAUGUUUUAAUGUAAAAUUAGAUUUUUCGAUGCGAACUCAACAAGUCAACAUUAGACUUACAUUUUUAUUUUUAUUUAGCUUUUCCUGUUGUUUGGAUGUAUGAAUUAUGACCUUAUAAAUAUUUGUUUGAAUGAAUGGUGUUUUGGAAUUU
Molecule: long non-coding RNA, 780 nt
Organism: Papaver somniferum (opium poppy)
Lineage: Eukaryota; Viridiplantae; Streptophyta; Magnoliopsida; Ranunculales; Papaveraceae
Exons: 5
Source: RefSeq, a predicted model, not a curated record